This 310-nucleotide long non-coding RNA is filed under the name Mytilus galloprovincialis (Mediterranean mussel). The record is from RNAcentral. Lineage: Eukaryota; Metazoa; Mollusca; Bivalvia; Mytilida; Mytilidae.
GUAGCUGACAUUUAGCAAAAUAUGAAUUCUUGAACUUUUUAUAUAUUUUAUUUCGAAAUUCAACUAAAUGUGUGUGUUGUCAUGUUUGGCAUCUAUGAAAAUUAUAAAUUGAAACUUCUCAAAAAUAAAGUACUUUACUCACAAAGUAGAUCAGUUACAGAUGUGCGGUGCAAGAUGUAAGACCUUAAAUUAAAGGACAUCAAAGUUAUAUAAAAUGAAACAUAUUUCUUCAAAACCAGUGAGUGGGAAAGAACACCAGUUGUACUUGAAACUCUCGCUUAAGGUAGCACAAUACAAAGAUUUUUCAUCC